Oxyura jamaicensis (ruddy duck) is the source of this 1230-nucleotide long non-coding RNA. RefSeq lists it as uncharacterized. Lineage: Eukaryota; Metazoa; Chordata; Aves; Anseriformes; Anatidae. The record is from RefSeq and is a predicted model, not a curated record. The transcript has 3 exons.
UUGCUUGAGUGCUGCUCUGUAGGGGUCAGAUCAUUUAGAAAAUGCAAUGUUGGUGAGAAUUGAGGAUAUCAGUGUGUUGGGUACCAGCACUCAUAAAACUGAGCUGAAACUACUGAUUUUAGGUAGCUACAGAUUCCACUAAUCUCCACCAACAACCUUAUACCAUGGUUGUUUUUGUUAAUGUUGCAGAGCAACAAAAUAAUUCAAUUCAAGGAAGCAUCCAGAAGUCAUCUUGCUUAUCUGAACUACAGCUGCAUCUGCAAAACUGGACUGGAAAUCUGCAGAGGAUGUGCUCUUCAUAAGAUUUCUAAUAUUUCCCUUUUCUAGUCAGGCUGGACUGAUGAGAGCAUCCUGCCCUUGUCCCUGGUUCCAGCCAGAGCCAAGAAGUGAGAUGCAUGUGAAAAUGAAAGGGGUAUGUGGAGAAAUAAUAAAGUCCCUCUUGCCAAAUCUGAAAAAUGUCAUCUUGGAUUUCAUGAAAGAGCCACUGUAGGCAUGCUGGAGAUCUGUAAUGAAGGUCUGCUGCAACUGAAAUCCCAAAGAUUAACUGGGAUAUUAGUGUAAAAUCAAACUGACAUUGAUUAGUAACUGCAGCAUCUGGAGUAAGUUGGACUCAAAGCAAGCAGGUGUUAUGAAGGUCAUGGAAGUCAUAUGGCUUCUGAGGCAGGAUUGCUGACUGAACACUUGCCAACCCCUCCAUGUCCAUAUCCCUCAACCUGUCUUACAUGUGCACUGGAGCAAAUUUGAGGGGAGGAAUGGAGGAAGAUGCUGCUUUUUCUGGCCUGGGAUGGCUACUGCCUGUGUGCUUCGUUGUUCUCCUUCUGCACAGUAGCUGGAAUGGCUUCUGGUUCUCUUUCAUCCCUGUCCAGCUGGGACCCUUCAGCAUCACCCAUGGGAUGGGGUGAGUGUACUUACCACACAAGCAUAGAACCACAGAGAAUUUUCCCUCUUUAGCUUGACUUGAGCUGUUGAGGCAUGAGAGAUUUGCUGGAGAACAUUUGGCUAUAUGUUUUCCUCAUAGUGUUUCCUUAACAACUUGAGAAUGACCCAGUGUCAGGACGCACAAGGACAGACGUUAUUCUAUAUCCUCUGGGCUGCAAGGUUAGUGUUGAAUUAACAAAGUUUGGCUUUGUGCAUAAAUACAUAUAGCAAUUAUGCGCUUCCAGCUCUGCAUGAUUCCUCCAUCUGUUGUAAUUGCCACAGUUUAUGAAUAAAUAAAUAAAUAAGGGCUUA